Molecule: ribosomal RNA, 396 nt
Filed under: uncultured bacterium
Lineage: Bacteria
Description: partial 16S ribosomal RNA
Rfam family: Bacterial small subunit ribosomal RNA
Source: RNAcentral
AUACGUAGGUGGCAAGCGUUGUCCGGAAUUAUUGGGCGUAAAGCGCAUGUAGGCGGUGCCUUAAGUCUGUCGUGAAACUGCGGGGCCUAACCCCGUAUGGCGAUGGAAACUGUGGCACUUGAGUGCAGGAGAGGAAAGGGGAACUCCCAGUGUAGCGGUGAAAUGCGUAGAUAUUGGGAAGAACACCGGUGGCGAAGGCGCCUUGCUGGACUGUGUCUGACGCUGAGAUGCGAAAGCCAGGGUAGCGAACGGGAUUAGAUACCCCGGUAGUCCUGGCCGUAAACGAUGGGUACUAGGUGUGGGAGGUAUCGACCCCUUCCGUGCCGGAGUUAACGCAAUAAGUACCCCGCCUGGGGAGUACGGCCGCAAGGCUUAAACUUAAAGGAAUUGACGGGG